GGCUUAGAACUAACGCUGGCAGUGCGUCUUAAGCAUGCAAGUCAAACGGGAUGUAGCAAUACAUCUAGUGGCGAACGGGUGAGUAACGCGUGGAUGAUCUACCUACGAGAUGGGGAUAACUAUUAGAAAUAGUAGCUAAUACCGAAUAAAGUCAAUUAAUUUGUUAAUUGAUGAAACGAAGCCUUUAAAGCUUCGCUUGUAGAUGAGUCUGCGUCUUAUUAGCUAGUUGGUAGGGUAAAUGCCUACCAAGGCGAUGAUAAGUAACCGGCCUGAGAGGGUGAACGGUCACACUGGAACUGAGAUACGGUCCAGACUCCUACGGGAGGCAGCAGCUAAGAAUCUUCCGCAAUGGGCGAAAGCCUGACGGAGCGACACUGCGUGAAUGAAGAAGGUCGAAAGAUUGUAAAAUUCUUUUAUAAAUGAGGAAUAUGCUUUGUAGGAAAUGACGAAGUGAUGACGUUAAUUUAUGAAUAAGCCCCGGCUAAUUACGUGCCAGCAGCCGCGGUAAUACGUA
This 514-nucleotide ribosomal RNA is filed under the name Borreliella garinii. RNAcentral's name for it is "bacterial SSU rRNA". It matches the Rfam family "Bacterial small subunit ribosomal RNA", at positions 21 to 529 of the family's 1533-position model. Lineage: Bacteria; Pseudomonadati; Spirochaetota; Spirochaetia; Spirochaetales; Borreliaceae. The record is from RNAcentral.